UUGCGUCUCUAGCUGUUCGUUGGGUAGAUAUGGAAUAACGAAAGGCGGAAAAGCCGUGGAAUGUUGAUUCCCUUGGUCGCUGGUGGUAAAACGAUGACGGUGACUCCGCCUUUUGACAGAUACGUUUUGUUUACCAGUAACCGCUACCGCCCCCGUAGCUCCAGGUCGUGGCUUCGUUUUGCUCCACGAGCCCUGUGAGAUACGUCCCAGAGAACUGAGAUGCCUCUCCAUAGAUCCACCUCAUAAUAACUGAGGUGGCUGGCCGAAACAUGCUGAGGUUUCUCUCAAGGCGCAGAGCGAGGAGCGUCAGAGGCCAGUCUGCCUCCUCGCAGAUCAAGAACCAACGCCUGCUCAGCAAUAAGAAUGUCGUUCAAUGUAGAGUCAUCCUUUUGGAUGGCACGGACUUGCCUAUCGAACUAUCGAAAAAAGCACUGGCCAGUGAUCUGUACGAACAGGUGUUCUAUAGUUUAGAUCUGAUAGAGAAGGAUUACUUUGGGUUGCAGUACACCGACAGCAACAAUGUACAACAUUGGUUGGACCCUACCAAGCCUAUUAAGAAGCAGAUUAAAAUUGGUCCUCCAUAUACUCUGCGUCUGAAAGUCAAGUUCUACUCGUCCGAGCCCAAUACCUUGAGGGAAGAACUUACCCGCUAUCAGUUUUUCCUGCAGCUAAAACAAGAUGUCUUGGAGGGACGUUUGCACUGCCCUUACCCAGUUGCCAUUCAGUUGGCAGCUCUUGCUCUGCAAUCCGAGCUUGGUGACUACGACCCAUCGGUGCACAGCGCGGCGACCGUCUCCGAGUUUCGUUUCGUGCCUAACCAGACCGAGCAGAUGGAGUUGGAGAUUUUCGAAGAGUACUCGAAGUGUUCCGGUCUCAGUCCAGCGCAAGCUGAAUCCGCGUACCUCAGCAGAGCGAAAUGGCUGGAAAUGUACGGGGUGGACAUGCACACGGUUCUAGGGAAAGACGCGUGUGAGUACUCCCUAGGGUUGACUCCAACCGGGAUUCUGGUCUUCGAAGGUUCCCAGAAGAUCGGCCUGUUCUUCUGGCCCAGGAUCGGCAAGCUUGACUUCAAGAAGAAGAAGCUGACCCUGGUGGUCGUAGAGGAGGAUGACGAGGGUAGGGGCGAGCAGGAACACACGUUCGUCUUCCGACUGGUCAACGAAAAGGCCUGCAAGCACCUCUGGAAGUGCGCCGUGGAGCACCACGCCUUCUUCCGAUUAAGGGCACCGGUGAAGGGUGCCAACGGUAGACAGAAUUUCUUCCGAAUGGGGUCUAGGUUUCGCUACAGCGGCAAAACCGAGUUCCAGACCACCCAGCUCAACCGCGCUAGGCGCACCGUCCAGUUUGAGCGGCGUCCAAGCCAGAGAUACGCGAGACGACAAAGCCACAUCCUGAGGGAAAGGCAACGGCAGCAAGUCGAUCAAACUCCUCAGUCAUCUGCUGUUCCAGUUCCAGUCAACGAGGAGAACCUUCAGCGGCAGCCAAGCAAGUCCAGCUCGAAGUCCUCCGACUCCAGCGUUCAACGGACCUCGUCUCCGCUGGUGGACUCUCUUCUGAAAUCCCUUGCCAAGGAGCAGCAGCCCUUGGAGCCUAGAAAUCAAACUGUGAUCGCCAGUAACGAAAAGGAAGCCGAGCCCGUCAAGGCUUGCCUAACUUCCGAUGCCAUAUCCGUCCAGCAGCUCCAACCGGUGCCCAACAACCAGGUUGGCGGUGCCUCCUCGCUGCCUCCGCGGACUCCGAUUCCCCCCGAGUCGCUGAAAUGCAACAUCCUAAAGGCAAAAGCUCUCGAGCAGGGGAAGAAUUCCAAUCUGAUCUCCAUCACCUCUGUAGAGGGUGGUACCGUGCUCUCCGAGCAGAGCCAAUCUUCCGAAGCGGCCACCAUUGUCUCGGUGGGAGGAGACAAAUUAACAUUGUCGGUCAGUGGUGCAACAGUGGUGCCCCCACCGGUGGACGACGCAGUCACGGUGACGCACUUCUCGGUGGACAGUUGGGGCCAAAUCGAGCAGAAGACUACGGCACUCAGUCCUAAAGUAGCGAACCAAUCUCAGAACCCUUUCAAUCCGUUUAUGAAUGACACAUCUAGUGAUGUCAGUAUCAUUAACGACGUCGUCAGCGAAGAGCUUAGGAAGGACGGCCCCGAAGAGGUGAAGAAGAACACCAACCCGUUCAUAGAUUCAAACCCAUUCCUGGGCCUGUUGAACCCGUUCAAAGAUGAUCCCCCCGUCCAGGAGAAGAAGACCGAACUCGAGAAGGAAGUGGAGAAGACCAACGGGGCCAGGAUCGUAAAAACGGAAGAGAUCGAGACGACGACCACGACUCUGGCUCACAAGCAGGAAACUCUCGCGGUCUCCGAUAUCAGUCCCUGGCUCGUUUCGGAUCCCUCCCAGGCCGCCGCUAGUGCUCCGACACCGUCUAAACACACUGUCAUUACUAGGAAAACAGUAAUUACCACGCAGCUAUAGGUUUGAUAAAUAUAUAUAUAUAUAUAAGAUAUUUUAUUUAUGUGCAAACAUUCCUGAAAGUAAGAUAUGUAAUGUAGUGAUAUUUCUUGCCGCAUUCGACUUGGGCCGAGUGCGACCUUCGCAAUGUUAGAUCUAAGACGCCGAGGACGAUCAAGACUGGAUACAGUGUGAAAGUGGCCUUACUCGUGAAAACUAACAACUUUUGCUAACUGUGACCAUCGGGAGGUUGUAUGGUAAACCGCAUUGCAGAGGCGGUUUAAGGUACGACGACCAUCGCCGAGAGGAAGAACCGAGAAGUGGCCGUUCAAGAGGCCAUCCCUCCCAGCGGUGUAAUAAAACAAUCAUGCCGGCGUAAUCUCCGUGUAAAAGCGAAUUAUUACCAAUAGUCGCACGACAAUGAAGGAGCUUUUCGGACCGCGAGUCUUCGCCUCGCGAGUCCUGGCCCUCCUUCGGCUUUGAAAGUACCGUCCCCAAGCCCUGGCUGU
This is an RNA transcript of Orussus abietinus, 2947 nucleotides long. It is a transcript of the gene named band 4.1-like protein 5, with no coding region annotated. NCBI's taxonomy places the organism in Eukaryota, Metazoa, Arthropoda, Insecta, Hymenoptera, Orussidae. The record is from RefSeq and is a predicted model, not a curated record. The transcript has 9 exons.